UUAAUUGAAGCCAAAAAGAGGCAUAUCACUGUUAAUGAUAUAAUUGAGGCCUAUUCCUCCAAUUAAA
Molecule: transfer RNA, 67 nt
Filed under: Gymnopternus bomiensis
Lineage: Eukaryota; Metazoa; Arthropoda; Insecta; Diptera; Dolichopodidae
Description: tRNA-Asn
Source: RNAcentral